GGGCUCACAUUGGCAAUACAUAUACUAAAAUUGGAACAAUGCAGAGAAGACUGGCAUGGCCUCUGCACGAGGAUGACACACAAAUUCAUCAAGUGUUCCGUGUUUUG
This is a small nuclear RNA of Nycticebus coucang (slow loris), 107 nucleotides long. The record is from RefSeq and is a predicted model, not a curated record. Lineage: Eukaryota; Metazoa; Chordata; Mammalia; Primates; Lorisidae.